Molecule: ribosomal RNA, 465 nt
Filed under: uncultured bacterium
Lineage: Bacteria
Description: bacterial SSU rRNA
Rfam family: Bacterial small subunit ribosomal RNA
Source: RNAcentral
AACGAACGCUGGCGGCAUGCCUAACACAUGCAAGUCGAACGGGAUCCAGGCUUCGGCCUGGUGAGAGUGGCGGACGGGUGAGUAACACGUGGGAACCUGCCUUUUGGUUCGGGAUAACCGCGGGAAACUGCGGCUAAUACCGGAUGCUCCCGAGAGGGGAAAGAUUUAUCGCCAGAAGAAGGGCCCGCGUCCGAUUAGGUAGUUGGUGAGGUAAUGGCUCACCAAGCCGACGAUCGGUAGCUGGUCUGAGAGGAUGAUCAGCCACACUGGGACUGAGAUACGGCCCAGACUCCUACGGGAGGCAGCAGUUAGGAAUCUUCCACAAUGGGCGAAAGCCUGAUGGAGCGACACCGCGUGAAGGAUGAAGCCUUUAAUUAGGUGUAAACUUCUGUUAUGAGGGACGAAAUUUUUGACGGUACCUCAUGAGAAAGCACCGGCUAAUUCUGUGCCAGCAGCCGCGGUAAU